This is a long non-coding RNA of Vombatus ursinus (common wombat), 232 nucleotides long. RefSeq lists it as uncharacterized. Lineage: Eukaryota; Metazoa; Chordata; Mammalia; Diprotodontia; Vombatidae. The transcript is spliced from 3 exons. The record is from RefSeq and is a predicted model, not a curated record.
GCAGAUUCCGCGCAGGCGCAGUACUUGGAUGAGGAAGCGGCCCGGUUCUCGGAGACCCCAGUAAGGGGCGAACCUUCACGCUACUGGCCGUUCUGGCUUCUCAGCGCUUUGCUCUUCCCCAAGAAAGAAGAAUUUCCCAGGAAAAAAGGGAAUGACUUCUGUGCUCCUACCAGCCAGAUCUCAGGUACCACUGACAUUCCAAGAUGUGGCUGUGGACUUCACCUGGGAGGAA